UGGGGAAUAUUGGACAAUGGGGGCAACCCUGAUCCAGCAAUGCCGCGUGAGUGAUGAAGGCCUUAGGGUUGUAAAGCUCUUUUGGCGGGGACGAUGAUGACGGUACCCGCAGAAUAAGCCCCGGCUAACUUCGUGCCAGCAGCCGCGGUAAUACGAAGGGGGCGAGCGUUGUUCGGAAUUACUGGGCGUAAAGGGCGCGUAGGCGGCGAUCCGAGUCAGAUGUGAAAGUCCUGGGCUUAACCUGGGGACUGCAUUUGAUACUGGAUUGCUUGAAUUCGGGAGAGGAUAGCGGAAUUCCCAGUGUAGAGGUGAAAUUCGUAGAUAUUGGGAAGAACACCGGUGGCGAAGGCGGCUAUCUGGACCGACAUUGACGCUGAGGCGCGAAAGCGUGGGGAGCAAACAGGAUUAGAUACCCCGGUAGUCC
RNAcentral lists this ribosomal RNA (424 nucleotides) under uncultured bacterium. Its description in RNAcentral is "bacterial SSU rRNA". It matches the Rfam family "Bacterial small subunit ribosomal RNA", at positions 355 to 796 of the family's 1533-position model. The record is from RNAcentral.